AAAAACAAUGUAUCUCUAGUAAAUUAGACAUUUGGUGCAAGAAAUAGAUAUAGGAUACCAGAUGGGAUCCUCUGUCACACAAUUUAGUUUGUACCACCAUGUACCACUCUUAAUUUGUCUAUUUUAUAAUUGUUUGUUAUAAAAAUAAAAAACAUUAUUAUAUUAUGAAAUCUAAUUAAUAUUUAUCAUUAAAAAUUAAAAUUUUAAAAAAAUAUAUACUCUAACUUUGAAUUAUUUAACCCAAAUAAUCAAUUAUUAAUUCAAAUAAAUAUAAAAAAAUAAUUUUAAACCAUAAUUGUAUGAGUGAACCCUUGUUAAUUAUCUUUUUAUUAUAUUAAAGCAUGACAAAUUAAAAAUAAAAAAAAUAUAAUUAAAAAUUAUAAGAAAUUAAGAAUGGUACACACUAAAUUGUGGGACAAAAGAUCUCAUCUGAUAAGAUACAUAUAUAUAUAUCCUGAUGAAUUAUAAAUCCAAGAAAUAAUAUGUAAAAUUUCAUAGGAGUAUCUUUUUUUUAGGCUGUAAAAUUUCAUAUCUUAUUCAUCUUAAUCUAAUAUCAUUUGUAGUCAACUUAGCUCCACAUACCUAUGUCAAAUCGUAUUUUUCCAUACACAUAUACAGACAUUAUGGUCAACACUCAGAAAAUGUCAGCCAUUUUAAAUUUCAUUGAUAGUUGAAUAUAAAAGUGGAAAGUUUUGGAUGGGUUAGUAAAUUUGUUCCCCAAAUUCAGACUUUAGAGAUGUGAAAAUUCAAACUGCUAAAUAGAGUAACAUAUAUACCGAAAAAGGAUAAUAAACAAGUGAAAAACAACCAUGUCACUGCAAGGAAACCUACAAAACUAAGAACCAUGCAUCCAGGAAAAAAUGAUAAUUACAAAAAAAACAAUAUCCAUAUUAGAUAUAGAAUCCGUUUGAUUAAUAGGAAUUAAAAGGAAAGAUAGAAUUUUUGAACAAAUAUAAUUGUCACGCGCGUUCCAACAAUUCUUUGAAUUCACACAGAUUAUAUUUUUCUAAUUUUCAUGUUUGAUUCAUCAGUAGAGGGCAGGCGAACGAUGACAAUAUCUAAAUCGUACACAACAAAAUCAGUAUCGUGGUUCGAAAAAUCCUACUAAUUAUAUUCGAUAAACUUAAUUAUGAAGAUAUGAAGAAAUAGUGUAUUACAGAAUUGAGGAUAAAAUUAAGUCAAUAUACUGCUUCUCUUUUGGUUGUAUAUGCAUAGAUUUGUUACCUCGCGCGUGAAGAGAAUAAGAACAAGAGUGUAAGAAUUAAAUAAAACUUUAUGAACAGAGUUAAAGAAAUAAUUCAAACUAGAAAAAGAAAAAGUACUACAGCUAGCUAAGGUUUUGCGCUUUAUUAUUUUUAAUAUUAAUUCAGGCUUUUGAUUUUUGUGUUUUUCUCUGACCUUUUGUUUCAGUAUCCCAUCAACGAAAUCUCGCAAAAUAAAAAAGAUUAAAACACGGAUUAUAAGAAAAUUUAACGAAAUAAAAAGAAAAGAGGAAAAGCAAAAGCUGCCACACAAUUAAGAAGCCUUUUAUUGUUCAAAAAUGGUGGACGUGAGAGUUGGCAUUUUGUAAAUUACCAUGCAACAGGAAAAGGAAAAAUGUUUAAUAUUAAUAUGAGUAUGAUUAUAUUGUUGGUGUGGUACCUGGAUGAGUUGCUCCACAAUGUAGAGGCGGCGGUGGAUGGAUACUCAGCAUCUUGCGGCGAAGAUUCAUCGGACGUGAGUCCUCUUUGAUCCAUGAACAGCCGCAGUCCCGCCACGUCGCCGCCGAGAUCGUCCUCGCCGGACCCAUCUGCGUGUGCGUGUGAUUUAUUAUAUAGCUACGAAAUUAAUUAAUUAAAAGGGUAGAAUUUAAGCUAUUAUGUACCUGAGGAAGCUGCAGGUUUGUCAGUGGUUUUAACAGUUCGAUACAUCUGCAAUGGAACGCAAUUUAAUUUAUAGUAAAAGAAAAAAAGUAGUUGUCUCUCUAAAGAGUGUAGUGAAGAAGAAGAAGAAUAAGAAGGUAGUGUUGUUUGUGCGUCAUGUCUUGGUUUCAUCAUUAAUCACGAGGUCCAUGUUUGAUAAGGUAAUAGUUAUGAGCUGUAUUAUUGACAAAUUAUGACUUUGUCUCUCUUCUUUUAUUGAUUCACUCUCUCUCUUCUCGUUACGAACCCCAACACUUCCUUCCCAUUCAUUCAUUCACUCUGCAUUCAUCGGCUACUGUGCCGGAGCCACAGACGGACUCCCAACCCCCCACCAGACAUCACUCUCUCUCUCUCUCUCAUUAUUUUGGCUUGAUUGUACUAAUUCCUUUUCUUUAAUUUCUAUUUACUUUUCCCCGUAGCUGGCUAACUAAUUGUUUUUAAUUAGUGUAGCUACCUGCAAAUGGCUCUUGACAUGAGCUAGAGUGAGAUCUUUGACAUCCAUGAGCUCAAGUACCGACUUCGGAGUAGCCCCUACAUUCACCCAAAAAACAAUAUAGUACAAUAAUUAAUUUCCACACGAUGUAUCAAUAAAUCCAAAAUGACAAAAAAGAAAAAGAAAAAAUGAAUUGAGAGAUACUUUCAUGGCCGCCGAGGAGCUCAACUGCAUGAACGAAGCGCGCGUGGAGCGUACUCGUCCAGCGCAUUCGCGGCGCUCUCAUGCUGCGCUUGGCCGGCAGGCGCGGCAGAAACCUGGAUCUGAUGAUCCCAUGAGGAGAAGAAGGGUCGUGAUGAUACGACGGCGUGAGGCCAUUAUACCUGGCUGUCCUGUAGGGCGGCAGCGACGACGAGGAGGAGGCGUUGCCCAGGAACGGCAUUGUUGUUGUUGAUCCAGCAAGUAAGGCGAAGACGGGUAGGGCAUUUGAUAGAAGCACAUCUUUGGUCCUUGGCGUCGUGCGGCAAGAAUGGGAAGGGCCGGUUCGGGUACACCGGGAUGCCCUUGAUGGGAACCGAGACGCCGUGGUAGGGUUUUGUGGGUAUCGAAUUCCGCCGCCUCUCUGCGCCUCGCCGCCGGAGCUCUUUGCUAGAUCGGACAUAGUGUUGCAGAUUGUUGGUGGAGUUGCGUUUGGUGGGCUGAUUUGGAGAGAUAGAUCGGGAGCUGCUUUUGAAUUCGACUCCAUGAAAAUCCCUUCCAAGGGCAUUUUUAUUUCUUUUUUUCAAUUGUAACAAUUGGUGGGAGCAGAGAUUCUCAAAGACCAGUGGAAGAUUUGUAGUAACUGAUAAAAGUGUGGAAAAGAAAUGACCUAGGUUUUCUACAAAGGCUUAAAGAGAUAUAUAAUCUGCGUACGUCGAGUAAAGCAAAGAGUACAAGCUCUCUCACUUUAUCUGCUAGCUUCAACAAAAUCAAAUUUUAUGUCAGGCUUCAGACACAAAAAGAAGACGGCACAAAACCUCCAACCUAGCUUAUGUUUCUGUUUCAGAUUUGUUUGGAGGGGCUAAAAUUCUUCUGAAAAUAGUGAAAAGACAAUCUUGUUGUUCAGAAGGAAAAAAUGAGGAAAAACCUUAAAAGAAAAGGAGUGCUCAAAGAAGAAGAUAUGGUGCAAGAAUAUGAGAGGAAUUCCAGAAAUGAAUGGAAAGGAAGGAGGGGUGGGGUGGGGAUGGAUUUUGUGUCUGUGUAAUUCCUCGAGAGUAUAUCUUGGAAAAUGACACUAGAAGAGAGAGAGAGAGAGAGGCUGUGCUUCAGUAGUCAAAACACGCAAUGAAUCACAGAUAAGAUGUAAUAGAAACAAGAUAGGGAAAUUAUUGGAGUAUUACAAAAUGAUAAAGAAAAAGAUAAAAAUUGUCAUUUCUUUCGCAUAAUUUUCCUUCCCCGUAGACGACGGGUUAAAAAUUCUUGAAACAGAAAGUAACACCUCUUCUAUGAUUCCCUUUCCCCUACGCUCUCUCUCUCCUGUUUCUCUCUCUUACCCAAUACAGACAUAGACAUACGGACACAAAAAAUACACACACGAACACACAUUAUUGUUUCUUUUCUGUUUAACUCAGCUUGGAAGGUCAUUAAAGAAAUCCCAUUUUCGUGUUAGCCAUGGGCCACACCGCACUGCCACAUCUUCUUCCUAGAUUAAACUGCUUUUUUCCAUCACUUUUCUUUUUCUACUCACUUUUCAUUUUUUUAGCUUUACAAAUUAAUAAACUCUUCAUGCCUUCGCCUAAACAAUUAUCUUACUUUUUCAAAAAUUACAUACCUUCCUCAUUUAUUUUCAACAUCGUCUUCAAUUUGUAAUUAACUAUUUAUUCAUUCGCUUCAUUUUAAUUAUUGUCAUAUGAUCUCUUAAUUAAUAUUUGUGUUUUGUCAUCACUUCUCAAUAUAAUUUAUUAUUUAUUUAUUUUAGGAAAAUACAUAAAAAUAAAUUGUACACAGUAUAUUUUGAUCAAAAAUAUCAAACAAUAUUUUAUUACUUUGUUUUUUUUUUUCUCGCAGAAUAUAUCAUGUCCAAUUAAUUAAUAUUUGUAUCGGCUAGCUAUUGAGCUAUGACAGUUCUAAUUUUGAUAUAAAAUACACUAUCCGUCCCAAUUAAUUUGCUUAAUAUUCAUUUCGGCGUUCUAAUUAAGUUGAUCAAUUUUCUUAUAUGAACAUUUAAUUAUUUAUUACUUUAUUAUUAAAUAUAUUUAAAAUAUUAAUUUUAAAAUUUCGUAUCGAAAAGAAGUUGAUCUGGUAUACAGAUGGAAUAAUUAGGAUAUUAUAUAACUGCAUGGAGAGCAGCUUAAUUAAUUUAUUAAGAACCCUAGCUAUAUAUAAGUGAAUAAAAUAUCGAAAGGUCAUAGCUGCAUAUGUAUUAAUUAAUACUAUAAUCAUAAUUGUUUGUGAAUUAGAUGCACACAAAUAUAUGCAGAGAGAGAGAGAGAGAAUUGGAUUGACUUGUGUGAUCGAGGGAGAGACCCACAAAUUAAAGGUUUGUUUGUUUGGUAGUGGUGGUGUGGAAUUAGCAACCAAAAUAAACCCACAUUAUAUUACCUUCUAAUUCUCGAAUUCUUCCAUACUCCCAAAUAUUCCCUUCUAAUCUUUCAACAACUUUGUCUGCCAUCUUAGGUUUUAUUAUGUCCUCCUCCACUGAUUAAUAUUAUCAAACUGUUGUUUUAAUUUAUGGGUUGUAUUUUGCAAAACCCUAGGUUGGAUCGGAUCAAUGCCAAUAUUUUAAUAUUUAUAUUUGUAUAGCUCAUUAUAUAAAUAAAAAAAAUGAUCCAAUAAAAAGGCUAUUUCGUGAGAAUGAUAAUUGAUAGAAUGAAUAAGUAUGUAAAAUAUGUGAAUAAACUUUUCAUAAUACUCGAUUAAUCAUUUAAAUUUGGAUUUGAAUUUUGGAGAGGACGAAAAUUUUACUAUAUUAUCUGGAUACGUUAUAUAUAUAUUAAGCAACUUAUUCAUGAAUUUAUACCGAUUUAUUCGGUAAACUCAUUUCUCACGAAAAAUAGCAUCCUCACUAUAACUUAAACCUAUAUAUAUAAAGAGACAGAGAGGUUCAAAUUACUUAAACUGAGAACGAAGAAUCAUUCUUAACCUUUCGAUCGUGAUAUUCUAUGAUUGAUGUAGCAUCUUGAUGAAUGUAUGCAACACCUGAGUUCAAAUUCUGAAAGUAGCGAAGGUAUAUUUUUUUUAGUGCAAUAAAUUUAGCAGCGGGUACAUUAAUUUUUACAACAUAUGAAGUGAUUAUACUAGUUCUCACAUUUUUACGAAAAUUAUAGUUCUCACUAAAACCACACACACUAUAUAUAUUACCUGGGUUCGAAUCUUGGAAGAGCAAAAAUUUUAUUAUGCAGUCAUUAUAAGCAGCUUAUUCAAUACUAUAUGCUGACUUACGCAUUAUUGUUAUUUCUUACGAAAUAUAGCAUUAAAAGUUUAUUAUAAUGAAAAUCGCAAUUUAAAAUGAGAACUGAGAACACUGCACUGACUUAUAAAUUACUAUAUUUACUGUGCAAUUAACUGUACCCAGAAAAAAAAAUCGCUUCCAUUUAAAUUCGAAUUUGAGAUGAUGCAUCAUCCAUCAAAAUGAAAUAUCUAUUAUAAAUAAUCAUGAUCCAAAGAUAAUAAUUAUUCUACGGUCUUAUUUUAAAUUAUUUAAACUUCUCCGUAUACAUAUGUAUAGAUAUAGAUAUAUAGCAUGCAGUUUGAACUUUGAAUGCUGUAGGGGUCUUGGAUUGAAUAAUGAAUGCUUUAUGCUUUGCACCUAGCUAGUCUGUCAAUGAUUAUUGAAUGAUGAGGUUAUGAGGUUAUGGGUGCGCUUUGUGUACAUCGGGUGCAGCGUUACGAUUCAUUUAUGUUGGCAUGCAUAUAUCUUUGUUCUGGAUAUUAGCCACCGUGCUUUCUUAAUAUUUUUUCUUAAAGCAUUACCUUCUAUGACUCAAUAAAUCUGUGCACCUAUAUUGUGAUCACUUAUAAAUUAAUUUAAUAAAAAAAAUUAUUUAUUUAAGUUAUAUUUUAAAAUUAAAAAAAAUUAAUUAUUCUAAUGUGCUAUCUAUAUUGUACCUAUUUUUAAUUAUUAUUUUUUGUAUUUUUAUUUUUUUAAAUAAAAAAGUUACAAAACAAAAUAACUACAAUAUGGACAAUACAGUAAAAUAAUUAAAUCUUAUUUUUAUUUUAAAAACUAAGUUGAAUAAAUCAAAAAUAUUAUUAUUUAACUAUUUUAUUUGUUGCUACAACAUGACUGUUUAGCAUUGCUCUUAUAAAUUAUGUCUUGCAAGCUUCACGGAGAUUUGAACUCCAAUAUUCCCGAUCAUUUAAAUAUUUAUUUGUAGAUCCCCCCCCCCCCCACCACAUAUAUAUAUAUAUGGAAGAGUUCAAUAGAGAACAACAAAUAUUCAAAGAACAAAGAACAUUGAACAUGUCAAUCAUUGAACGUUAAACGUUCGUACAAAUAAUUUUAUUGAACGUUGAACGGAUUUAUNCCGCAAUUAAGUCGAAGCCACUUAACAGGUUACGCGUCUAAAAUGUGGCGGAUUUAUCUUUGCUUUAUCUCUUCAAUCACACAAUGUGCGACGCCGCCGGCCUUUUCCAAUUUCUCUCUGCCGUCGGCGAACUUGCUCGCGGCGCGGCAGUUCCUUCUAUCAUGCCGGUGUGGGAAAGGCAUCUCCUCUCCGCUCGUCAGCCACCGCGCGUGUCGUUCCCACCGUGAAUUUGAUGAUGAUGUCGCAAGUGGCGAAACCCCCAUCCCGGUGAAGAAAUGGUGGAGCGCUCCUUCUUCUAGUUUUUUUUCGCCGCCGACCAUCUCGAGCCUCCGCCGCCAGCCUACCGCCACAUCUCCAGAGCUGCACCAGAUUCGAAAUCGUGGCAGGUUGCGCCUGGCGCUGCCGGACAAUCGCUCUCUCUCCCAAACCUGAUGAAGAGGUUAGGUUCUCAUGCGUUGUGAAUUUGCGGAAGCGAAUGAAGCCUCCGCUUCCAGUGGGAUACUACGGCAACGUUAUAGCUGCCCCACUGGCUGUCACAACUGCUGAGGAAAUAUCAAAAAAGCCGCUGCAGUUCGCGGUGGAGCUGGUGAGGAAAGCCAAAGAGGAAGCAACGGAUGAGUACCUGAGAUCUUUGAUAGAUCUGAUGGUGAUGAGAGGUCGCCCCAUAUACGCGCCACGUAACAAUUACAUGGUGUCGGACUUGACGCAUGGGGGUUUCGAGCAAGUGGAUGUUGGGUGGGGCACGGCGGCGUAUGGUGGGAUCUCGAUAGGCGUAAGUGGGGCGACUUGGUACAUACCCUUUAAGAAUGGCAUAGUGGUUCCUGUUUGCCUACCGCUCAAAUCAAUGCAAGUCUUCCACAAACAGCUUCAGAUGAUGAUGGCUGCUGCUCGAACAACUUCAGCUUUGUAAUAAAUUAUAUCUACUGUUGUCUACACAUAUAUUUUAUUCUCUAAAUGUUGCUGGGAUGAAGUUCACACAAAUCCUGCUUAUCGAACUUCAUAAUAAUGUAUUGUUUUUCCUCAAUAAAUUUUAAGGACGAUUUAUAAUUUUAGGAUUUAUAGAUAAAUCAACAAAAGAAUAAAAUGCGCUAAAAAUAUAAAUAAUAGUAACAAUUCCAACAAAGGAUUCAUUAAAGUUUUAAGCAAAAUUGAGGAGUUUUAUGCUUCGUUAUUAUUAAUUUUUGUUACGUAAUUUCACUUUUAUCAGGUCAUAAUUCAUUUCUAGCUAGGUUGCAAUUCAAGUUGGGUAUAUUCAUUCUAUCCAUGAAAAGUGAGGUAUUAAUUUUUAGUAAUUUGGUUCAUCCACAUUUUGUGGUGUUCCUAUAAUGUAAUAGUGAGACCCAUUCCGCAUACAUACAUAUAUACAUACAUACAAGAAAAAUCGCUUCUAUAGUGUAACCUUGUGAAAGGCUAACUUUAUGUGCAAACUGGUCUUAACUAGUGGAGUACUAAGUGGAUCCUUAAUCUCAUAUCUUUGUUUCUAUGUUAUAACAUCUAUGUUAAACGUUUCUAUCUUAUCAGUCUUUACUCAAAUCGAUCAAGCGAAGCUAUCACGACUAACAUUUCCAAGGCAAUCUUAAGUGGUACUCAGACAUUUGCAAGAGGACCUAUCGUUAUAAUCGUAUAGGCAGUGAACCUAGGGAAAAACCUUGUAAAAACCGAAUAAAAGAGAUAACAAUCAGGCAUCGCCCCUUUGGAUGAAGAAAGACAGAUAUCCAAUUGAUACAAAUCAAUCAACAAACAUAACAAACUUCAGGAUCAUAAGCUUAGUUUCAUGCUUCAGAUAACAAAUAUUCAUUAAUCAAAAUACUUGAGAGUCAAUAGUCUAGGCUCAACAAAAGAUAUCGUUUAGAGUCAUAACAUAAAGGUUUUAAGUCAAAGAAACGAAAGACAGAUAAAGGUUAGUACUACAGCAGAAGUCAAAACACGGAGUUGAACCCUAGCCUUAGCUCUGCCUCGUCAACACCAACCAUCAACCUGAAAAAUAUUUGAAAGUAUUUGGGCUAAGUACUAAUGUACUUGAGCUGCAUCUUUUAAAACAUUUCACAAUUCGUAAGAGCAGUUUAUCCAAUUAUACUGACAUGGCUUAGAAGGUUUUAAAGUAAAAUAACUUCUAACCAUGUUAAAACAUUUCAUAUAUAUACUCCCUCCGUCCCACCAUUUUAGUCCCUUAUUUCAUUUUGAGAUGUCCCAAAAAGAUAGUCCACUUUUCUAAUUAAUACUAUAUAAAAAUAUUGUUUUUACUAAAUUAACCUUAUUUAAUGCUUCACUUAAAUGUGAAAAGAAUGUGUGAAAAUAAUAAAUAAGGGUAUAAAAGAUAAAAAUAUAAAAAUUAAAUGCAUUUUCUUAAUAUGUGUGAAAAGUAGGAGGGGACUAAAAUGGUGGGACGGAGGGAGUAUAUAUAUAUAUAUAGGGUCGCAUUCAAUGGAGACCACUUCCUUAGAUAAAGAAUAAAGACCAAAUCAAGGCCAUUCAUCUCACUCCAAUCAACGGUUCAUCUAAUUUCCUAAUUUGAUUUUACAUGUAAUUAAAUAUUGAUUAAUUACAUUUAUUUAAUCCAAAAAGGGCAAAUAAGUCCACUCAAAUCUACUGAAAUAUGGGAUCCCGUUGAACAAAUCCCGAAAAUUUCUCUUUUCCCAAUAUGAGACCUGAUCCGUCAAUGAACAUAAUAUGUGAACAUUAGUAUGUUCAUUGUUUUCCUAUGAACAUUUCGACGAACAUCAGUAUGUUCAUUGGUUUUUCUACGAACAUAUUGAUGAAUAUCAAUAUGUUCAUUGGUUUUUCUACGAACAUAUCGACGAACAUCAGUAUAUUCAUUGGUUUUUCUACGAACAUCAGUAUGUUCAUUGAUAUUUUCUACGAACACUUCAUUGACGAUAUGCAGAUCUGCAAAUCCGGCGGCGGCGCGGCGCGGCAGUCACCACCACGAGCGUUCUACCAUCGCCGUCUUCAUCGGCUUCACCCGACGCCGGGGCAUCACGAGCACAGCCUGCGACGCCGGCGGAGCAGCAGGAGGAGGAGGAGGAGAUGGAGGCGAUUGGGGAGGGAGGCGGUGGAAGGGAGAAUGGAGGGGAUGGCAGCGGAGCAGCAGGAGAAGGAGGAUGAAAUGGAGGCGAGGAGCUCCUUCUGUACAUACCCUCGUCGGAGACGAAUAGCUCCUUCUGGCAUAUACAGCCUCAUCGAAAUUACCUUGAGAUUCCAUGGCAUAAAUUCGAAACAGGGUGAAGAAGGAAAGCCACGGCACAUUGGGAAAUAAGCAUUAUUGACUUAACUACCAUAUCCCACUUAUUACUCUUCCGUAAAUAUAAUAAUUGAUUGUAUCUAAUUUAUGAAAUAAAUGGAUAUGCUGAGAUUGAAAUUACAUAGCUAUCCUUUUAUCAUAAAAUGGACGUAAAUCAUAGAUUGUUGAUCAGCGCAAUUAUUGACCGUUAGAUUGCCCAGAAUCGACGUACAGGAUUUGGUCUUCGUUCUUUGAAAUCUUGGUGGUCUCUAUAGAACUCCACCCUAUAUAUAUAUAUAUAUAUAUAUAUAGAGUUUUGAUAUGUUGGGCGACUCAACAUGAGCGACUUCUUGGGCGCCAGCAUACACGUCAGAUUUUUAAUUCCUUUUCUUCGAUUUCUUUUUUUUCCUUCGUUUUAUUUCCAUCUCUUUUUUUCCUACUUUUUUCUUUUCUUUUUGAAUUUAUUUUGUCUUUUUCUUUCUUCGUACUUUUUCAACCUACAUGUUCCUCUAUGUAUAGAAAAAAAUAAUUGUUUAUUAAUUUUCUUUAAUUUUGAAAAUAACCGUAAAGAAGUGAUGAGUAGAAACAUUGAUAUAUUUCUCUCUCUUACCCCAUUCCUCAAUUAGAAUUUACUUAAUUAUAUCAUAUUUGAAUCUGUUUGGUAUUUUGACAUAAUCAUUCUACCUUUAUUAAAUGAAAAUUAGGGACAAUCAAAAAUCAAGAUAUCGAUGAAAACACAUACAAGAUCUAAAAAUUAAUGUUACAAUUUUUGGAUGGGAAGUGUAUGCAUAUAUAGAGUGUAAGGACGAAGAAGACGAAAGCAAGUAACAACAAAUAAAAAGGAAUAAUCUUAAUUAAUUUUCAAUUAUCGCAAAAGAAAGAAGAAGGUGUUGGUCUGAAAAAAUGAAUGAGGCACUGGAAAAGUACAAAAGAAAGAGAAGAAAAAAUAAUAUAAUAAAAGGAAAAGAAGAAAACAUAAGGAAAUGAAUUAAGAAAAAUCUGACGCGUAUGCUGGCGCUCAAGAAGUCGCUCAUAUUGAGUCGCCCAGCAUAUCAAAACUCUAUAUAUAUAUAUAUAUAUAUAAUAAAGAGAGACCAGAGACAAAGGAAACAAGCAAAAGCACCCGCAAGAAACCCCGGGUAACCAAAAAAAGAAACCAAGACUAAGAGAACAUUUUAAGAGGGUCGUCCUCGUCUAAAACAUCGUCAUCGUCAUCGUCCAACAUAUCGCCCCAUUUUUUAGAGGCCACAACCGACAUAGCAUGGGCUGCAUCGGUAGAGUUAGAGGAGUUGAUCACAAAGUUUUGCAGAAUCUGUCCUCUAGACUGAGCAUACUUCACUUUAUUCAGGAACUCCACAGGCGGAGAAGUGUCAAGACCAGGGCCCUGCAUAUCAUCACGGCGUGCUGAGUUUUGGAAAUCCGAGGACAUGCCAUUCAUUAUGAUACGACGGAGCCUGUGCUUGAUAGAAGAAUCAGAAACUCUCCCCUUCUUGUUGAUAGCCCCUUUCGGACGCCCUCGUCUACGAGAACUGGGUCCUGUCGUCCCAGUCAAAGUUAGCAAAUCGUUGUUGUCAGUCAUCACAGCAAGCGGCUGAACAACCAAAGGUGCAGAAGUCCUCUCGUGUUCCUGGUCCACUACCUCAAUUUGGCUCUUUUCGUCAUCUGACUCAAGCUGUUCCAUAUCCUUUCUAUCCUGAUUGUCCUGAUAGAUGCAAGCAUCUGAAGCUCGGCCUCCAUCAGAUGGCGGCUUUUCCAUGUUAUCAUCACAAACAAGUCUAUGUUCAUCUUGCAACUCUAGAGAAACCAACACAGCAAAGGGGUUGGAUGAGGUAGGAGAGUCUGAAGAAGAGUUCAGUUUCUGUCCAACCUCAGCAAAAGCCUUUCCAGCCCUUGCUGGAGAUUCCUGAUUUCCGGUGUAGGGACGAGGAUGAACCCUGUGGUCAUCUACCUUGGACUGACCACGUUCCCGACCCUGAUGUUCCGUAAAGCCCUCCUCUGUCGUGGUUGUUUUCCUCCUUCUGCAUUCGUUAGAAUAUGUCCCACAACCUUGCAAACCGAGCAGUAAUAAGGCAAAUUCUCAUAUACAAACUUGACAGUAAAAUCAAUGUCGCCACACUUAAUAUCUAAAGCCUCAGGAAUAUCAGCCGAAACAUCUAACUCAACAAGAAUUCUAGCAAAGUGACCCACAUGAGCCUGUGCAGACUGACCAUCAAUCAAGAUAGGCGUACCCAUUCUCGUGCGAUCCCGGAAAGAACCUCUGGGUGCCAAUAUUCAUGUGGCAAGUUAAAGAUUCUAAUCCAUACGUGAACAAGGGUAGAAUGCGCUUUGUAGGGAUCAAAAUUCGGCACCCAAGCCUGGAGAUGAAGUAUACCUGAGCGUAGACGCCAAGUCAUUUUAGCGAAAGCCGCUGCCCUAUCCUCGUCGGUGGUGAAUUAAAAGUGAAGUAACCUUUUCCGAGAGGAUGAAUCGACCAACCACAAGACGGUUUCCAAAGCUGCUGAAGUUCCUCCCAAAGAUCCCCUGCAAACCGAGGUGACUCACCUUUUGCGGAGGAUCAGCCGGCCGUGAACCGCAUGGGCAAACGCCGGACUUGUCGUUGGUGGAAAGAGGCUCUAAAACAAGACAACGUUUGAGAUCCACCAACUCAGGCCGAAGGAUUGUAAAGUCAUGAGCGGGGACGUCCCUAGGCUUGGAAACUUGCUCGGUCGGACUGCCAUCCCUAGCUUUCAGUUUAUCUGCAAAAGAGACCGGCGACACCUUCGAAGCAGACGAUGGACUGACCACAUUCGAAUGGGCAGUCCCGAUCGAGCGAGGCGGGAUCAGGCCCUUAGGACCAUCGGCCUGAGUAGAGACGCCGACAGUAUGGGCAGUCAUCACCGCAGCGAUUUCCGGGAAUGAAACAUCAGCAGUAACUCUAGCAGCCUCCGCCGAACUAUCUGUGACCGUGAUGCUCGGAGGCAUCGUGAUCCCAGACUCGGGGAAGAGAAGCGCCGUCAUUACUNCCGGUUAAACCGAUUAACCGGUUUAUUUUAUAUUAAAUAAUUAGUUUAUAUUUUAAUAUUUUAAUUUAAAUAAGACAUUAAUAUUCAAGUAUCUAUAAAUUUUUUUUGUUCUAAAUUAUCACAAGUUAUGAAUUGUUGCAGUGGAUAAGACCUUUUUCUUUCUUUCAAAGGUCAAGAGUUCAAAUCCUAUUGCACACAUUCUAUAAAAACCGGUUAAUUCGGUUAACCGGUUAAAUUCAGACAAUGAAUUAUCGGUUAACCGGUUAGGGAAAUGGCCCUUAACCGGUUCCGGUUAAUCGGUAAACCCUACUUAGGAUCACUCAUGCAUAAAUACCCACCGGAAAAUUUAUGUACAAAGAAAUAAAUCCUGAGUGAGGUAUAUGGCACGUUUAACCUUUCUACCCGUCGGUAUAAGGCCCGGUCAUCACAAAGUAAGACAAACUCACACCAAGGAGUGACUUGCCACUGAUCAUCCUUGGUUGGUAACCUCAAGAGAAUAAUUAACACAAAAAUUUAAACAAAUUAAUAAUAGAAAAACAUAUUCCGUACAUAAAGAAGAUAAAUAAGGAGUUUCAUAUGAAUAACAAAAAAAUAAAAAUAAAACAACAAAAAAAAGCAAAAAAAUAAAUAAAUAAACUAUCGUGAUGAACAGUACCCCGCUUCAUGUGUCGGGCUAUCGUUCACAAACUCUACAUUUUGGCGUAAAAUGGAGUGCUGCUGGAGGAAGCCUAUCACUGCAAACUAGCGGUUUACUCUAUUUUAGAGUGCCGCUGCAGUUGCUCUUAGCAUGCAACUUCAUGUCUUAAGCAAGAAAUUUGGAUUUUUUGUUACCUUUGCAAAAUAUAAUCCACCCGUUAUCCUGGUAUUGAAAUAAAAAGGAUGGACUAAAGGUAUUAACUGCCUCAUGUAGCUGGUCCUACAGCACUAGUCUAGCCUAUAAAUUCUAUUUCAUAUAUUAACUGUUCCCUAUUCAAAUUAGCAGCUCAACUAUUUUGAGCUAGUAUUCGUUAGUUAUUUUGUUAGUCAUGGCUAUUCCUUAUUUUAGCAAUUCUUGUUGAGUAGAUCGUGUCACCUCAAGUAGCUAGCUAGGAUUUCUGAUUUUAUGUUGAGAUAUAUCUUUCCUUUGUAUUCUUCAUGCUUAGAGGGCUUAUAAAUAGCACCUCAUAUCAGAUACAUAUAUAUCAGCUUUUGGAGUCUUCUAAUAUAACGUUGCAUAUAUUUGUUCCUUUCUUUUUGUGUUCUCUGCUUCUUGUUCCCAACAGACUCUGGGUCUACCUAUUCCAGAGGAACUUUUUAACUCAACUGAUGUUCCAUGUAAAUUAAGGAUAUUUAGGUUAUGACUUAGAAAAUAUUAUUUGUUCUUGAUUGGCAAGAGACAAUUUAAUUAAGACAGAAUUCUAAAAAGCUAUUUUCAAAGUUCAAAGUGUUUCUUAAAACCAUGUAUAAAUAACAUGUUAUGUUUGUUGGCCUUAGUUAUGAUUACUAUAUGUAUGUAUAUGCAUCAUGAAUAGCACCACACAAGAUAUCAUAUUACAAUACACAAUCAAGCACAGAAUCUUGAAAUAAAGUAGCAAAAUUCUUGACAAUAUAUUUGACUGUAAUAACAAGCAAACUUCUAAUGGCCUCUAAAAGACAUUCUGGAAACCUUGUAACAAGAACUAAACUCUCCAAUUUGAAUAACUCAAAAAUGAGUUUUGAGGUGAGAGUUAUGCCUCAAAGUAUGCCCCUUGAAAGUAUGUAGUUUCAAGGUGUUAAGUUCGGUCUCCAGAAAGGAUACUUAACCUUGCUGGAUUACCUUAAAAUUUGGUAUGUUAAAACCUCAUAUAUCAAACUAAGUGUGGUAAAAAUGUCAAAGCAAAAUCAAUCAUUUGAGCCACCAAAAGUUCAUCCCAAAAUAGGGGCUGAAACUGUCUCCCAUUUUUGCGACUAUACUUGACAGCACCAAAACCCAUUAUGGAGUUUAUGAAAAUUUAUGAGAUUUGGCAUGCACCAAUUUCACGUAUUUAAUAAGACACUGACCAAACUUCGAGAUUAAACUCAUCCAUUUAGGCCUAGUUUGGUAGCAUUGGUUGGAUUGGGCUUGGUUGUUUUAAACUAGAGGGCCCAUUGUUGGUAAGGCAUGACUAAUAGCAUUUUCUUGUGUUUGAUAGGUUGGUUUGAAUGUUAGAUUAAUAUUUUCAAGUGUUCGGUAGUCAAGUCUAUUCGCAGGUUUCAUCAUUGAAAUUACAAGCUUGUCCUUAAAACUUAUUCCAAAUGCCCAGUGUACCCCUCAUUUCUGCAUUUCAAUUUCGUCGUAUGAGAAGAUGGAAAUAUGAGAGCAAAAUCCAUUUCAUUGUACAAACAAUUGAGUGAAAGAUAAAAGUUCUAUCGUGUUAUGAUCACAAGUUGAACCAAUAUAAAGCCAUAUUCCAUCAUUGCAUUAUUCCCUCUAAAAAAUAAGACAAAACAAAAUCAUCAUUAUAUUCGUUCCAAAAUACCACAAAAUGAGGUUAACUCAAAAUGUGAAUACACAAACACAUCAAGAUUAUUCUUGUUCAUCACAAACACAAAAAACAAAACUAGCAAAGAAAAAAAUGCAGCAAUAACAAACUAACAAAAGUCUGUCAACUUGAGGUGGUUGUUGCUGACUGCAAAGUUUUGCUGCUCUCCGUUUCUCUAUCCUCGAUGAAGUAAUCCUGAAGAGCCGUCAUCUCGAUCUUGUUCGAUCUCAAGCUCUUGAUCGCCGCUGCAGUUGCUAGGGCGCCCUCCAC
Molecule: long non-coding RNA, 15811 nt
Filed under: Salvia miltiorrhiza (redroot sage)
Lineage: Eukaryota; Viridiplantae; Streptophyta; Magnoliopsida; Lamiales; Lamiaceae
Description: long non-coding RNA (SMIL_LNC005145)
Source: RNAcentral